Molecule: ribosomal RNA, 225 nt
Filed under: Staphylococcus aureus
Lineage: Bacteria; Bacillati; Bacillota; Bacilli; Caryophanales; Staphylococcaceae
Description: partial 23S ribosomal RNA
Rfam family: Bacterial large subunit ribosomal RNA
Source: RNAcentral
CCUGAGUACGACGGAGCACGUGAAAUUCCGUCGGAAUCUGGGAGGACCAUCUCCUAAGGCUAAAUACUCUCUAGUGACCGAUAGUGAACCAGUACCGUGAGGGAAAGGUGAAAAGCACCCCGGAAGGAGAGUGAAAUAGAACCUGAAACCGUGUGCUUACAAGUAGUCAGAGCCCGUUAAUGGGUGAUGGCGUGCCUUUUGUAGAAUGAACCGGCGAGUUACGAU